AUGCUUGCUUUGGCAACACAUAUACUGAAAUCGGACCAACACAAAGAAGAUUAUCAUGGCCCUUAAGCAAGGAUGACACGCAAAGUCAUAAAGUGUUCCUUAUAUUU
RNAcentral lists this small nuclear RNA (107 nucleotides) under Equus asinus (donkey). Lineage: Eukaryota; Metazoa; Chordata; Mammalia; Perissodactyla; Equidae. The record is from RNAcentral.